This 403-nucleotide ribosomal RNA is filed under the name uncultured bacterium. RNAcentral describes it as "partial 16S ribosomal RNA". It matches the Rfam family "Bacterial small subunit ribosomal RNA", at positions 30 to 526 of the family's 1533-position model. The record is from RNAcentral.
AUUGAACGCUGGCGGCAGGCCUAACACAUGCAAGUCGAGCGAGCGGCGGACGGGUGAGUAAUGUAGGGGGACUGCCCGAUAGAGGGGGGUAACUACUGGAAACGGUGGCUAAUACCGCAUACUAUCGGCUAACACAUAUGGGAUUAGCUAGUAGGUGGGGUAAAGUCUCACCUAGGCGACGAUCUCUAGCUGGUCUGAGAGGAUGAUCAGCCACACUGGGACUGGGACACGGCCCAGACUCCGACGGAGGUAUGAGUGGGGAAGAAUGCACAAUGGGCGCAAGCCUGAUGCAGCCAGGCCGCGUGUAUGAAGAAGGCUUUAGGGUUGUAAAGUACUUUCAUCGUGGAGGCGUUACCCGCAGAAGAAGCACCGGCUAACUCCGUGCCAGCAGCCGCGGUAAUAC